AGUUGGGUCUCGUGCGAUAUCAUGCCGUGAAUCUUGUCAGGGCCGGAAGGCAGCAGCAAUAAGCGGAAGUUGGUGUGCGCCGCGAGGUUGCCUGGCUCGA
RNAcentral lists this signal recognition particle RNA (100 nucleotides) under Candidatus Faecaligallichristensenella faecipullorum. RNAcentral's name for it is "signal recognition particle sRNA small type". It matches the Rfam family "Bacterial small signal recognition particle RNA". From Rfam's summary of the family: The signal recognition particle (SRP) is a universally conserved ribonucleoprotein involved in the co-translational targeting of proteins to membranes. Archaeal SRP consists of a 7S RNA and homologues of the eukaryotic SRP19 and SRP54 proteins. The record is from RNAcentral. Lineage: Bacteria; Bacillati; Bacillota; Clostridia.